RNAcentral lists this ribosomal RNA (465 nucleotides) under Vreelandella stevensii. RNAcentral's name for it is "partial 16S ribosomal RNA". It matches the Rfam family "Bacterial small subunit ribosomal RNA", at positions 338 to 795 of the family's 1533-position model. Lineage: Bacteria; Pseudomonadati; Pseudomonadota; Gammaproteobacteria; Oceanospirillales; Halomonadaceae. The record is from RNAcentral.
CCUACGGGAGGCUGCAGUGGGGAAUAUUGGACAAUGGGGGGAACCCUGAUCCAGCCAUGCCGCGUGUGUGAAGAAGGCCCUCGGGUUGUAAAGCACUUUCAGUGAGGAAGAACGCCUGGUGGUUAAUACCCAUCAGGAAAGACAUCACUCACAGAAGAAGCACCGGCUAACUCCGUGCCAGCAGCCGCGGUAAUACGGAGGGUGCGAGCGUUAAUCGGAAUUACUGGGCGUAAAGCGCGCGUAGGUGGCUUGAUAAGCCGGUUGUGAAAGCCCCGGGCUCAACCUGGGAACGGCAUCCGGAACUGUCAAGCUAGAGUGCAGGAGAGGAAGGUAGAAUUCCCGGUGUAGCGGUGAAAUGCGUAGAGAUCGGGAGGAAUACCAGUGGCGAAGGCGGCCUUCUGGACUGACACUGACACUGAGGUGCGAAAGCGUGGGUAGCAAACAGGAUUAGAUACCUUUGUAGUC